GACGAACGCUGGCGGCGUGCUUAACACAUGCAAGUCGAACGGAAAGGCCCUGCUUUUGUGGGGUGCUCGAGUGGCGCACGGGUGAGUAACACGUGAGUAACCUGCCCUUGACUUUGGGAUAUCUUCAGGAAACUGGGGCUAAUACCGGAGAGGAGCUCCUGCUGCAUGGUGGGGGUUGGAAAGUUUCGGCGGUUGGGUAUGGACUCGCAGCUUAUCAGCUUGUUGGUGAGGUAGUGGCUUACCAAGGCUUUGACGGAUAGCCGGCCUGAGAGGGUGACCGGCCUCAUGAGUACUAAGGUACGGCCCAGUCUCGUACGGGAGGCAGCAGUGGGGAAUAUUGCAGAAUGGGCGGAAGCCAGAUGCGACAAUGCCGGGUGCGGGAUGAUGGCUUUCGGGUUGUAAACCACUGUCGCCUGUAAUGAAGAGUGAGUGACGGUAAUGGAUAAAGAAGCACCGGCUAACUACGUG
RNAcentral lists this ribosomal RNA (468 nucleotides) under uncultured bacterium. RNAcentral describes it as "partial 16S ribosomal RNA". It matches the Rfam family "Bacterial small subunit ribosomal RNA", at positions 28 to 507 of the family's 1533-position model. The record is from RNAcentral.